CCUACGGGGGGCUGCAGUGAGGAAUAUUGGUCAAUGGGCGCGAGCCUGAACCAGCCAAGUCGCGUGAGGGAAGACGGUCCUAUGGAUUGUAAACCUCUUUUGUCGGGGAGCAAAAGACGCCACGCGUGGCGUUCCGAGAGUACCCGAAGAAAAAGCAUCGGCUAACUCCGUGCCAGCAGACGCGGUAAUACGGAGGAUGCGAGCGUUAUCCGGAUUUAUUGGGUUUAAAGGGUGCGCAGGCGGAAGAUAAAGUCAGCGGGAAAAUUGAGAGGCUCAACCUCUUCGAGCCGUUGAAACUGGUUUUCUUGAGUGAGCGAGAAGUAUGCGGAAUGCGUGGUGUAGCGGUGAAAUGCAUAGAUAUCACGCAGAACUCCGAUUGCGAAGGCAGCAUACCGGCGCUCAACUGACGCUCAUGCACGAAAGUGUGGGUAUCGAACAGGAUUAGAUACCCGGGUAGUC
RNAcentral lists this ribosomal RNA (459 nucleotides) under uncultured bacterium. Its description in RNAcentral is "partial 16S ribosomal RNA". It matches the Rfam family "Bacterial small subunit ribosomal RNA", at positions 338 to 795 of the family's 1533-position model. The record is from RNAcentral.